RNAcentral lists this long non-coding RNA (591 nucleotides) under Struthio camelus australis. Its description in RNAcentral is "lncRNA (ENSSCUG00000000517.1)". The record is from RNAcentral. Lineage: Eukaryota; Metazoa; Chordata; Aves; Struthioniformes; Struthionidae.
GUGGCAACCAGCAACCCCAGGCGCACAGCUCUCCUCAGGGAGCUGAGGCCCGCAGCCUCCCUGUGGAAGAAAGGAAAGCCGGCUCCCCAGGCCGAGUAGCUGUCUGCGGUGCAAUGCCUCCCCGUCCAGAUGCCUGGUUCCCCUUUCUGCGCAGACACCUGCGCUUUAGAGAGCUACGCUGUUUUCCUGAGUACGGCCUAUUGCCUUUUGCCUUGACCUAGACGGCCGCAAAGCGUUGGUGCGCUGUGCCUGCUGCGUGCUGCUGUGUUGGCCCGACACCUGUCCUGCCUCCUGCGACUGGCAGGGCUUGGCCACACCGCUUACCUCCCUUCUUCCCUCAGUCCUCACAUAACGUGAGGCCAUGGAAACGAUAGGGCUAGAGUGCGGAGGAACAUCAGGGCCAUGUUAAAAAACAAGGCCAGGAUUAUGUUAAGUAGUGUUGGAGCAGGCCUGCCCCCAUCCGAGGGCAGAAGCGUGGCACCUCGCCACCAGCGCUGGCUGAAGGCAAGUGCUAGAGAAAAGGUUGCUUUAUAUAUUAUCCUGCUCAGCAGUGCCUGUGCCAGCAACUGGAAUUUGCUGGUAUUCUUCCAG